Molecule: ribosomal RNA, 274 nt
Filed under: uncultured bacterium
Lineage: Bacteria
Description: partial 16S ribosomal RNA
Rfam family: Bacterial small subunit ribosomal RNA
Source: RNAcentral
AUACGGAGGGUGCAAGCAUUAAUCGGAAUUAUUGGGCGUAAAGGGCGCGUAGGCGGAACUGUAAGUCAGAUGUGAAAUACCGAAGCUCAACUUCGGUGCUGCAUUUGAAACUACAGAUCUGGAGGAUAGACGGAGAAAACGGAAUUCCACAUGUAGCGGUGAAAUGCGUGGAUAUGUGGAAGAACACCUGUGGCGAAAGCGGUUUUCUAGUUUAUUCCUGACGCUGAGGCGCGAGAGCAAGGGGAGCAAACAGGAUUAGAAACCCCAGUAGUCC